GGAGGACUAGUCUAAUGGUAAGGCAUCUGACUUGAAAUCAGACGGGUGAAAGCCCUUGGGGGUUCGAGUCCCUCGUCCUCCGCCA
Molecule: transfer RNA, 85 nt
Filed under: Candidatus Aerophobetes bacterium ADurb.Bin490
Lineage: Bacteria; Candidatus Aerophobota
Also listed under: 2 other names
Description: tRNA-Ser
Rfam family: tRNA
About the family: Transfer RNA (tRNA) molecules are approximately 80 nucleotides in length. Their secondary structure includes four short double-helical elements and three loops (D, anti-codon, and T loops). Further hydrogen bonds mediate the characteristic L-shaped molecular structure. tRNAs have two regions of fundamental functional importance: the anti-codon, which is responsible for specific mRNA codon recognition, and the 3' end, to which the tRNAs corresponding amino acid is attached (by aminoacyl-tRNA synthetases). tRNAs cope with the degeneracy of the genetic code in two manners: having more than one tRNA (with a specific anti-codon) for a particular amino acid; and 'wobble' base-pairing, i.e. permitting non-standard base-pairing at the 3rd anti-codon position.
Source: RNAcentral